UACGGAGGGUGCGAGCGUUGUCCGGAAUCACUGGGCGUAAAGGGCGCGUAGGCGGCUCGGUAAGUAGGGGGUGAAAUCCUGCGGCUUAACCGCAGGGCUGCCUUCUAAACUGUCGAGCUCGAGCACGGUAGAGGCAGAUGGAAUUCCUGGUGUAGCGGUGAAAUGCGUAGAGAUCAGGAAGAACACCGGUGGCGAAAGCGCUCUGCUGGACCUUAACUGACACUGAGGGACGAAAGCUAGGGGAGCGAAUGGG
This 253-nucleotide ribosomal RNA is filed under the name uncultured bacterium. RNAcentral describes it as "partial 16S ribosomal RNA". It matches the Rfam family "Bacterial small subunit ribosomal RNA", at positions 524 to 776 of the family's 1533-position model. The record is from RNAcentral.